CGGGGUGCAGCAGGCGCGAAAACUUUACAAUGCGGGAAACCGUGAUAAGGGGACACCGAGUGCCAGCAUCAUAUGCUGGCUGUCCAGGUGUGUAAAAUACACCUGUCAGCAAGGGCCGGGCAAGACCGGUGCCAGCCGCCGCGGUAACACCGGCGGCCCGAGUGGUGAUCGUGAUUAUUGGGUCUAAAGGGUCCGUAGCCGGUUUGGUCAGUCCUCCGGGAAAUCUGACGGCUCAACCGUUAGGCUUUCGGGGGAUACUGCCAGGCUUGGAACCGGGAGAGGUAAGAGGUACUACAGGGGUAGGAGUGAAAUCUUGUAAUCCCUGUGGGACCACCUGUGGCGAAGGCGUCUUACCAGAACGGGUUCGACGGUGAGGGACGAAAGCUGGGGGCACGAACCGGAUUAGAUACCCGGGUAGUCCCAGCCGUAAACGAUGCUCGCUAGGUGUCAGGCAUGGCGCGACCGUGUCUGGUGCCGCAGGGAAGCCGUGAAGCGAGCCACCUGGGAAGUACGGCCGCAAGGCUGAAACUUAAAGGAAUUGGCGGGGGAGCAC
RNAcentral lists this ribosomal RNA (553 nucleotides) under uncultured archaeon. Its description in RNAcentral is "bacterial SSU rRNA". It matches the Rfam family "Archaeal small subunit ribosomal RNA", at positions 326 to 879 of the family's 1478-position model. The record is from RNAcentral.